AUGUCAAUAAUAAACAGAUUGACAUUGUUUCACACACGGUGGAAGGAAAUUGACUAUACACGUCACACUAUAACGGCCAAUGGUAAGUACUUGGCUUUCUGCCGUGUUUGUGUGCGGUUUGGGGGAAUUUGUAAGCACCAACUUGAGAACCCCCGAGGGCUGACACACAGCUGGACUGGGGGAAGAAGGGGACACCACUGCCUGGAGGUCAGAGGGCAAUGGGGUAACAACCAACAAUCCUAAUCUUAACUCUAAUCUUAACCCUAACUCUUAACUAAACCUAAACCUCAAACCAAACAACAAUUGUUUUCACCAGACACAGAAUGUGCAUCUAUAACAACACACAUUUCUUUUGUGGGUAUUUUACCUACUUUUUCUCCCCAGUUUCGAUCUUGUCUCAUCGCUGCAACUCCCCAACAAGGUUGGGAAGUGAAGGUCGAUUCAUGCGUCCUCCUAAACAUGACCCGCCAAACCGCACUUAACACCCGCCCACUUAACCCGGAAGCCAGUGUGUCAGAGGAAACACUGUUCACCUGACGAUCGAGGUCAGCCUGCAGGUGCCCGGCCCGCCACAAGGAGUCGAUAGAGCGCGGUGAGCCAAGUAAAGCCCCCUCGGCCAAACCCUCCCCUAACCCUGAGGACGCUGGGCCAAUUAUGCGCCGCCCUAUGGGACUCCGGAUCACGGCCGGUUGUGAUAAGCGAUGCAGUGCCUUAGACUGCUGCACCACUCGGGAGGCCCCAAAAUGGUUUUGACUUAUAUGGCUUCCUCUUAAGCGUUAGGAGCACGUUAUUAAACAAAAUGCUAUAUUUUUUGCAGCGGUUGUGGGGUCAAUACACUUUAAAUUCAAUGCCACUCCAACUUUCUCUCAUUGAUGUCAAAAUCUGGAGUUAAGAGAUCUCCAGUUAGGAUUCAGCCUUUCUUGUGGUGGAGUUGAAGAGGAAUUUACCCAGACCUGGGUGGGCAAUAUCUAAUAAUAACAUUUCAUCUUAACAUAUUUUUUGUCAUGUGUGACAACUGCAUACGUGUGAUUUCGAUAUUUACACUGUACUGUGAUUAUUUUGUAUUUUUUCUGUACAAUUACUUUCAAUAUGGAACUUAAUUUCCCAAACACAAUGUCGAGAGCGUAACAACACAUGCACACACAAACGCACACACAUAUACAGUACACACACACACAAAUACAUACAUAGAUUUUGAGUGUCUUUAGGCCACCAUCAUGAAUAUAGUUUUAAAUAAUUGUUGUUUCCCAUUCAUCGUCCCUACCAGUUGAUCCCAUAGUUUGUUUUGAAUGAGCUGCUUUGUGCAGCAGUUGUAACAUCAUAGGGUAGAUGGAUACAAUGAAGUGCUUAACUGCCACACUGAUAUCUGGUUACCUGUAGCAGAAUGCUCUGGGGUCUAGUAAGGGUCUAGAGUUUCAUUCUCACUCUACAUGCCUGUAUUUACUUUCAGCAACACUACAAUAUCUAGGCAUAACAUGCAGCUAAAAUGCAAGAUCAAAUUAAUGAAAUUUAACACCUUUUUUUAAGGGUUCAAUCAGAACGUCAUCAUAACUUUGUUUACCAGUACGUAAGUACAUCAUACUAUAGUUGUAAACACUAAAUAAUGUACAGUAGGCUACUCCACGGGAAUACAGCUGGAUGCAGGUGGGCAAGAACCAAAGCGCAUCCAUUUUACAAGAGAACUACUUCCUUACAACACCACGUCACAGGAUCAAUAGGGCUGGUAUGUACAUAAAUGACAUCACAAUAAAAAAGAGAGAAAGGUUCAUAUUGACAGAGACUUGAUGUAUUGAAGGAGUCUUGCCAACUCCUAUGGCCAUUGACAUGACAUAAACAGAUCUGGGGCCAGACUGACAGACUGUCUGAACGUACAUAACCUCAGAGAGGGGGAAUCCGUCUGCAGGGGGAAGAACUGGAGGCCCGUGAGGACCUCAAUAGGGAGGUAGGUGCUGUUGGUGCCAAUUUUUUUUAUUUUUGACUGCAACACCAGAUUCUUCUCAGGGGUCAGGACCCUGCCCAACAGCAC
Long non-coding RNA from Salmo trutta (river trout), 2026 nucleotides. The record is from Ensembl. Lineage: Eukaryota; Metazoa; Chordata; Actinopteri; Salmoniformes; Salmonidae.